This 292-nucleotide ribosomal RNA is filed under the name uncultured bacterium. RNAcentral describes it as "partial 16S ribosomal RNA". It matches the Rfam family "Bacterial small subunit ribosomal RNA", at positions 505 to 796 of the family's 1533-position model. The record is from RNAcentral.
GUGCCAGCAGCCGCGGUAAUACGUAGGGGGCAAGCGUUGUCCGGAUUUACUGGGCGUAAAGAGCGCGUAGGCGGACGUUUAAGUGUGGCCUGAAAGCCCCCGGCUCAACCGGGGAUCCGGGUUGCAAACUGGGCGUCUUGAGGGGGAUAGGGGAAGGUGGAAUUCCUGGUGUAGCGGUGAAAUGCGUAGAGAUCAGGAGGAACACCCGUGGCGAAGGCGGCCUUCUGGGUCCGCCCUGACGCUGAGGCGCGAAAGCGUGGGGAGCGAACGGGAUUAGAUACCCCAGUAGUCC